This is a microRNA precursor of Medicago truncatula (barrel medic), 69 nucleotides long. It matches the Rfam family "MIR2629 microRNA precursor family". The record is from Rfam. NCBI's taxonomy places the organism in Eukaryota, Viridiplantae, Streptophyta, Magnoliopsida, Fabales, Fabaceae.
UGUUGAAGUUUUCGUCGGUAGUUAACUGCAGUCGGUUCCAUAACUCGGCAGUUAACUGCCGAGGGGCAU